UACGUAGGUGGCAAGCGUUGUCCGGAAUCACUGGGCUUAAAGCGCGUGUAGGCGGGUCGGUGCGUCGGCCGCUGAAAUCCCCCGGCUCAACCGGGGAAGGGGCGCCGAUACGACCGGCCUGGAGCGACGUAGGGGGAACUGGAACUUCCGGUGGAGCGGUGAGAUGCGUUGAGAUCGGAAGGAACGCCCGUGGCGAAAGCGAGUUCCUGGACGUCGGCUGACGCUGAGACGCGAAAGCCAGGGGAGCGAACGGG
RNAcentral lists this ribosomal RNA (254 nucleotides) under uncultured bacterium. RNAcentral describes it as "partial 16S ribosomal RNA". It matches the Rfam family "Bacterial small subunit ribosomal RNA", at positions 524 to 776 of the family's 1533-position model. The record is from RNAcentral.